GGGGUUGUGGCUCAGCGAUAGAGCACUUGCCUAGCACGUGCAAGGCCCUGAGUUCAGUCCUCAGCACCACA
RNAcentral lists this transfer RNA (71 nucleotides) under Marmota monax (woodchuck). RNAcentral's name for it is "tRNA.Ala". Lineage: Eukaryota; Metazoa; Chordata; Mammalia; Rodentia; Sciuridae. The record is from RNAcentral.